ACAUGGGGGCAGACGGCGGAGAGCUGGGAUGGAGCGCGCCUUGGCCCGCUGGCCUGGGCCGCGGCUCCUCCGGAGAGCCCGGGCGCCCACGCGAGAACCUCCCUACCCGGGUCUGUCUUCAAGGAUGACACCUUCCGUCUGCCUUCCUGCCACCAAGGACCACCUGUGGAUGACGAGCUGAUGCCCAGAGGACGCCAGGAGCAGGGGUUCCUGGAUCCCACCAGCAAACAAAGCAACCACUGGGCAGUGACCGCCCCCCCAGGCCGCCGAAGAUUGAAGAGGACCCGAACUGACCAACCAGCUGUCCCUCUUGGCUAAGCGUUGAAACCAGUGCCCUAGUGAGGGGGCACUGGCUAACCUCGGACUUUCGAUGUGCUUUUUGCCUUGAUGCUUUGCUUUUCUAUGUGCGUCUGCUUCUGUUAACCUUCCAUCAACCUGGAGGUUUCACCAUCCCAGGGAGGUGUCAGUCUUUCUCAGUCCACCCC
This 485-nucleotide small RNA is filed under the name Bos taurus (domestic cattle). Its description in RNAcentral is "partial gene-trap locus 2 transcript variant A". The record is from RNAcentral. Lineage: Eukaryota; Metazoa; Chordata; Mammalia; Artiodactyla; Bovidae.